RNAcentral lists this ribosomal RNA (440 nucleotides) under uncultured bacterium. RNAcentral describes it as "partial 16S ribosomal RNA". It matches the Rfam family "Bacterial small subunit ribosomal RNA", at positions 338 to 795 of the family's 1533-position model. The record is from RNAcentral.
CCUACGGGGGACAGCAGUGGGGGAUAUUGCACAAUGGGGGAAACCCUGAUGCAGCGACGCCGCGUGUGGGAAGACGGUCCUCUGGAUUGUAAACCACUGUCCCCAGGGACGAAGCUGACGGUACCUGGGGAGGCCGCUCCGGCUAACUACGUGCCAGCAGCCGCGGUAAUACGUAGGGAGCAAGCGUGGUCCGGCAUUACUGGGUGUAAAGGGAGCGUAGGCGGGAUGGCAAGUUGGGUGUUAAAUCUACCGGCUCAACUGGUAGUCGCACUCAAAACUGCUAUUCUUGAGUGAAGUAGAGGCAGGCGGAAUUCCUAGUGUAGCGGUGAAAUGCGUAGAUAUUAGGAGGAACACCAGUGGCGAAGGCGGCCUGCUGGGCUUUUACUGACGCUGAGGCUCGAAAGUGUGGGGAGCAAACAGGAUUAGAUACCCUAGUAGUC